Molecule: non-coding RNA, 29 nt
Filed under: Mus musculus (house mouse)
Lineage: Eukaryota; Metazoa; Chordata; Mammalia; Rodentia; Muridae
Source: RNAcentral
GCAGCAGGAAGGAGUAAAACUUUGAAGGC